AUUGAACGCUGGCGGCAUGCCUUACACAUGCAAGUCGAACGGCAACAGGUCUUCGGAUGCUGACGAGUGGCGAACGGGUGAGUAAUACAUCGGAACGUGCCCGAUCGUGGGGGAUAACGAAGCGAAAGCUUUGCUAAUACCGCAUAAGAUCUAAGGAUGAAAGCAGGGGACCGCAAGGCCUUGCGCGAACGGAGCGGCCGAUGGCAGAUUAGGUAGUUGGGGGGAUAGAAGCUUACCAAGCCGACGAUCUGUAGCUGGUCUGAGAGGACGACCAGCCAAACUGGGACUGGGACACGGCCCAGACUCCUACGGGAGGCAGCAGUGGGGAAUUUUGGACAAUGGGCGGAAGCCUGAUCCAGCCAUGCCGCGUGCAGGAUGAAGGCCUUCGGGUUGUAAACUGCUUUUGUACGGAACGAAAAGACUCUUUCUAAUAAAGAGGGUCCAUGACGGUACCGUAAGAAUAAGCACCGGCUAACUACGUGCCAGCCGCCGCGGUAA
This 498-nucleotide ribosomal RNA is filed under the name uncultured bacterium. RNAcentral's name for it is "partial 16S ribosomal RNA". It matches the Rfam family "Bacterial small subunit ribosomal RNA", at positions 30 to 523 of the family's 1533-position model. The record is from RNAcentral.